GUAGAGUAACACGUGGGUGAUCUGCCCUGCACUCUGGGAUAAGCUUGGGAAACUGGGUCUAAUACCGGAUAUGACCACAGCAUGCAUGUGUUGUGGUGGAAAGAUUUAUCGGUGCAGGAUGGGCCCGCGGCCUAUCAGCUUGUUGGUGGGGUAAUGGCCUACCAAGGCGACGACGGGUAGCCGACCUGAGAGGGUGACCGGCCACACUGGGACUGAGACACGGCCCAG
Molecule: ribosomal RNA, 228 nt
Filed under: uncultured Actinomycetales bacterium
Lineage: Bacteria; Bacillati; Actinomycetota; Actinomycetes; Actinomycetales
Description: partial 16S ribosomal RNA
Rfam family: Bacterial small subunit ribosomal RNA
Source: RNAcentral